UACGUAGGGUGCAAGCGUUAAUCGGAAUUACUGGGCGUAAAGCGUGCGCAGGCGGUUUUGUAAGUCUGUCGUGAAAGCCCCGGGCUCAACCUGGGAAUUGCAUUGGAGACUGCAAGGCUAGAAUCUGGCAGAGGGGGGUAGAAUUCCACGUGUAGCAGUGAAAUGCGUAGAGAUGUGGAGGAACACCGAUGGCGAAGGCAGCCCCCUGGGUCAAGAUUGACGCUCAUGCACGAAAGCGUGG
RNAcentral lists this ribosomal RNA (241 nucleotides) under uncultured bacterium. RNAcentral describes it as "partial 16S ribosomal RNA". It matches the Rfam family "Bacterial small subunit ribosomal RNA", at positions 524 to 764 of the family's 1533-position model. The record is from RNAcentral.